RNAcentral lists this ribosomal RNA (246 nucleotides) under uncultured Lactobacillus sp. Its description in RNAcentral is "partial 16S ribosomal RNA". It matches the Rfam family "Bacterial small subunit ribosomal RNA", at positions 116 to 354 of the family's 1533-position model. The record is from RNAcentral. Lineage: Bacteria; Bacillati; Bacillota; Bacilli; Lactobacillales; Lactobacillaceae.
CGUGGGUAACCUGCCCAAGAGAUCGGGAUAACACCUGGAAACAGAUGCUAAUACCGGAUAACAACGGAUGAUGCCUAUCAACUGUUUAAAAGAUGGUUCUGCUAUCACUCUUGGAUGGACCUGCGGUGCAUUAGCUAGUUGGUAGGGUAACGGCCUACCAAGGCGAUGAUGCAUAGCCGAGUUGAGAGACUGAUCGGCCACAUUGGGACUGAGACACGGCCCAAACUCCUACGGGAGGCAGCAGAU